Cajanus cajan (pigeon pea) is the source of this 2215-nucleotide non-coding RNA. Lineage: Eukaryota; Viridiplantae; Streptophyta; Magnoliopsida; Fabales; Fabaceae. The record is from RefSeq and is a predicted model, not a curated record.
CCUUUUUAAUAAUCUAGAAUUGGAGAGACUUGAGUUUUUCUUAAUACACCCCCUCAUGUCCAUGGUGCAUGUGAUAUUCGCUUAGGUAGUUUUGCAGUUUUUUAUCCUCAUGUAAUGCUAUUUAUUAGCCUCGGUUAUUAUCCAAUGAACAAGACUUGACUUCUUUUUUUUCUCUUAUAUUCACAAGAGUCUAACAGCAUGUAUCAAUGGUGGGUGGCCCAUUUUUAAAAAUUUAGAAUAGCUCUGAUACCAUCUUAGAAUAGUGGAUUUAAGCCUAAUCCAACCCUACAAAAUCGGCUUGUAAGGUGAGAGUUAUUUUUUACUUAUAUACUUAAUCUCUAGUCGAUGUAAGACUUAAAUUUUUCUCAAUACUAUGUGUCAGUCUACGUGAAAAGAAUAUAGGUAUGAAAGUGCAUGUGUUGCUGUAGUUGCGUGUGUGAUAAUUUUAGUAAGUGAAGGUGAGAGUGAGAAAGAAUGUUGGCUGGCUGUUAGUGAGUGAGAGUGAGAGAGAAUGAAGGCUCUAGUUGGGAAGUUUUCAAAUUCUCCAUUUUGUAGGGUUUUAUAGAUGCGAGAAAGCUACCUGUCACCUGUGAAGACAUUGAUAUCAUUAUAACACAUUUUUGUGUAAAAUGUUAUUGGUCGAUUUCUCAUAAUCUUUCUUUAUUGGUGAAUAAAAUUUGAAUUGACAUACACGAAGGAUUUUCUAAACCAUAGUAGUCAAUACUACACUAAAGCUUAAUAAAGCAUAGCAACCUUGGGUAACUAUAUAGGAUUUAAAUAAUGGAGUGGUUUUAAUUAGUAAUCAUUGAGGUCUGUUAUCUUUUUGUAUACUGUAUAUUAAUUAUCAUAAAACAAGUCUCUGAUUGCCUUGUUUCAUGUUUCUAAGCUUUGUUUAAUUUAUAUUUCAUUUAUAAAAUUAUGAAAUUUCCAUAGGCCCACUUUUUACAGCUAGAUCUGACCUUUGAGGUAGAGGGUAAUUAAUAUUGUAAGAAGCUUUUUUUUUUGUCAUAAUCUCAGUUUGUUUUAUGUAUUUUAAUUUGUUUCAUUCAGUAGUUGCUAUAUAUUUUACCAAUAUAUAGCUUUCCAAUGAACACUUACUGCCACAUUAUGAGUCAUGACCUUGAUUUGAUGAUAAUAUAAUAUAUACUAUCGUUGACUUGCAACAUAUCCACUAACUUUAUUCUUACCUUGUUUGAUAUAUUAAAUUUUCUAAUGUUUUUCUUUGGCCAUUUUCUCUAAUUAGCAAGAGAGACCAGCUGGCAGAGUUGAGAUUUGUGCCUUUCUGAGGGGAUAAUUGUUCGUCUGGACUAAAGCAAAAUAAUAAGAUCAAGUUGAGGAUCCGGAUCUACUUGUGGCAUGAACAUUAGAAGUCAAUUUCAUCCCAAGAUGCAUCAAAUUAAAGGUAACUAAUAUUUUCCUAGAGCUUGUUACCAAAUGAAAUCAAAUGAGAAAAACAUUUUUGGAAGUUCUUAAAUAAAUAAAAGCUUUAGAUGAAUAUUUUUAUAAUAUUUCAAGAUGUGUACAAGUGAAGUAACACAAAAUAUUUGGUCUCAAAAGCUAUUAUUGUCAUCUUAUAAUGCAAGAGUUUCUUCAUAUAGCUAUGAAAUAUUGUUUGCCUGACAAAGUGAGCUUUGUUAUAGUUGAUAUUUGUCAUUUCUUCAAAGAGUUAUGUGGUAAGGUGCUUAACGAGCAUAAUUUGGAGCACUUGUAGCAUCAAAUAGCAAAAACAUUGUGUCAGGUAGAGUAAAUUUUUCCUCAAUCUUUUUUCAUUGUGAUGGUACAUUUAGUGAUCCAUUUGGCAUAUAAGACAAAAGUUGCAGUUCCAGUUCAUUAUUGAUGGAUGUAUCCCAUUGAAAGGUACUUUUUAUAGUAAUUUAAUAAAAUUUUAGAUUUAUAUAGUAAAAUGAUAUUAUCAUAUAAUGUAACCUAAAAUAUUUUUUUAGAUUCCUUUAUACUUUAAAGUCAUUUGUUCAUAAUUGAGCACAUCUAGAGGGUUCUAUUUCAAAGGGACAUUUAGCUCAUGAAUACUUGAUAUUUUGUUCAUGAUAUCUUUCUAGAGGUGGAAACUCAUUUUAACAGAUAUAGUUGAAAUGAUGAUUCUCAUUUUGUAGAAACCCAAGAGGUAGACCUUUGGAGAGAAAAGGUCAAGUUAGGUUCAAUGUGAAAAAAAAAAGUUUCUUGAAAGUCUUUUAAUAAGAGAACAUUGCUUCAAACA